Long non-coding RNA from Cercocebus atys (sooty mangabey), 2369 nucleotides. RefSeq lists it as uncharacterized. The transcript is spliced from 4 exons. The record is from RefSeq and is a predicted model, not a curated record. Lineage: Eukaryota; Metazoa; Chordata; Mammalia; Primates; Cercopithecidae.
AGGGAGCUGGGGCAAAGGCACCAGGGAGGCUCCUGGUGCUCAGAUAGGACUGGAAGUCUGGGACAUAACACUUUUCAGAGGGGGAAGGGGCCAGGGAAGAGAGGCUAUUUUUAAUAGCCAAAUAGGAGAUAUAAGCUCAUUAAAAACCAGAAGGAAAGGAAUAAAAUGUUUAACAAGUGUCUGAGUGGAGGACCUCCUUCAAGCUGAAGCAAUGAAAUGACAUCAAGAAGACAAAGGCCAACAGCGAACAGGGAUAAGUGAUGGCCUGUGUCCCAAGUGGCCUGGAGUGGACGCCACUAGAUGGACAGGUUCUGGGUCAGGUCCUCAUCUUGCGGCACGGAGGAAUCGUGAUGAUGGCUGCAGCCCCCAGAAGAUGAACUUGAGAGGAGCUGGCUGAGAUGAUUUUUCAGCUGAUGGUGAAAUGUGCUGGCAGAGUCUAUACAGGUAGGUUGGCGCAGGUGAGGAGUGGGGUGGGCACUUUGUCUCUUGUGACCCCGAAUAAUGUUUCCUUGCAGAAUUGGAAGCCUCCAGGACAGGUGGAUGCCAGCUGGAUUUAGCCAUUCACAUUGGCAAACCACUCUUAGGUGAUCUGUUACAUUCUGAUGAAAGCAUUCUUCCUAAUACAAGCAAUCUGAGAGCUUAGAGCUAGGAGACAACAUCCAGGAGCAGAGAUCACACACUCUUGGGUCCUUGCCUGGGAAAUGGGGAUAACAACAGCACCAGCCUAAUGUGAGGAUCAAAGGAGAUGAUGUCCAUCAAGUAUUUAGCUCGGGGAUGGACACUAAGUGCUCCAUACAUGUUAGGAACUCUCUCUGUUCCCAAGUCCAGAAAUCUGGAGAAAGGUUUCCAUUGGCCCAGCUGAGUUGGGGUUCACCUCUGGCAAAUCAAUGAUGGCCAUUAAAGUGGGCUGUGCAAUAAAUAAGAAGGUGAAUUUCAAAAAAAAUAGGUUGGGGUGCAGAAUGUUUUCCAAGAAGGAUUAGCACAGUUCUAGGUAAAGAACAGAGGUCAUCCCUCUGGCUGCCAGCAGAAAAGGGUUUGAUCAGGCCCCAACAGCCUGGAGGCAGGAAAGUACCUAAGAGGCACCACAGUUGUCCAGGUGAGAAAUAACGCAGGCCUGAGCUAAGCAACAGUGCAGAUGGAGAGAAGGCGUAGCCAAGAGAAGUUUUGGAGGUAGAAAUAGGGGGCAUGGUGCCAAGUGCACAGGAGAAAUGAGACAGAAUGAAAGGUUGAAGGUGGCCUCAGGUGCUAGCCCAGAAACCUACAAACAGCCUCUCCAAAAUGUCACUUCAUUACUCAGGUUCACUUUUCCCACCACCACCGCCACUCCAUUCUGCUCAGUAGCACAAACUUAGUUGAAGGUAAGCACAGCCACAUCUGGACAUUUCCAAAGACUCUCUUAAGUAGAUUCUUGGUCCACUUCCAGCUCCUCUGCUUCCCACUGCUCCUUCUCCUUGUGGGUAGUCAGUGUUCUGGGAGCUUCUAUUCUGACCUGGCACCAGGGGCAUGCAAGUGAUUCAGGUCUGCCAGCAACUAUCCACUGCCAUCCACCUAGCCACAGAAUCCCUGCUGAAUCUUUGUCCUGACCAUGAGGCACAUACAAGUCCACCGGCUACACUCACCCUCUUCUCUACACCCUCACCAUCACCACAGUGUUACAAAGACAAACAGGACCCUGGAGGACCCCUCUAGGCCACCUUCUCCCACUAGGGCUCCUCAGCCUCUCCAGCCCAUGCCAGGAGCUUGUGGUUUCCCAGGCAACACCUGAGGAGCCAGGUAACGGUCCCUUCUGCUCUGGGAUACCUCAAAUUUAUUCUGGGAGCUCUAGUAUCUACUGUAUAGCUACAUCUCUAUGUGAUUCCUUUCUUCCCACUAGCUGGUCUAACUUUUAUUUCCUUUUAGGCAGAAAAACAGCUUCAGGCAGAAAAACAGCUUCUGCAUUCUUCCCUGUUUACCAUUCUGGCAUCAAUUUCAAGUGCUCAGUCCCUCAAGCUCUUUCCUCUCUACAAAAGCCCAGCUACUGCAACCAACUAUCCUGUCUGUCUCUGCUUAAGUUUCAAGAGACUCUUUGAAACUACUGACCAUUGUUCUCACUGCAUUCAUGCUGCAGCAACCCAAAUCCUGCAAAGCUCUGACUGAAUCAGGAAAGAGUGACCUUGGUAGCUAGUCUCCAAAGACAGCCACCACCAAUACUUGCCUUCCUAUAAUAUAUAUCAUACUCCUUGUAUCAGGAAGAGAAGUGUAAUUCCCUCCCCAUGAAUCUAGGCUGGCCUUAGUGACUUUCUUGGCCAAUAGAAUAUAGCAGAAGGGGCCGGGCGCGGUGGCUCAAGCCUGUAAUCCCAGCACUUUAGGAGGCCGAGGCGGGCGGAUCA